AGAUGAGAUUUCCCAUGGAGUUAAUCCAGUAAGACCCCUUAGAGAUGAUGAGGUUGAUAGGUCUCGGGUGGAAGCGUGGCGACACGUGGAGCUGAGAGAUACUAAUCGGUCGAGGACUUAUCCUAAA
Molecule: ribosomal RNA, 127 nt
Filed under: Anaerobacillus arseniciselenatis
Lineage: Bacteria; Bacillati; Bacillota; Bacilli; Caryophanales; Bacillaceae
Description: partial 23S ribosomal RNA
Rfam family: Bacterial large subunit ribosomal RNA
Source: RNAcentral